RNAcentral lists this ribosomal RNA (303 nucleotides) under uncultured bacterium. RNAcentral's name for it is "partial 16S ribosomal RNA". It matches the Rfam family "Bacterial small subunit ribosomal RNA", at positions 507 to 808 of the family's 1533-position model. The record is from RNAcentral.
AGCAGUCGCCACGGGAAUACAGAGGAUGCAAGCGUUAUCCGGAAUGAUUGGGCGUAAAGCGAGCGCAGGCGGUUAGAUAAGUCUGAAGUUAGAGGCUGUGGCUUAACCAUAGUACGCUUUGGAAACUGUUUAACUUGAGUGCAAGAGGGGAGAGUGGAAUUCCAUGUGUAGCGGUGAAAUGCGUAGAUAUAUGGAGGAACACCGGUGGCGAAAGCGGCUCUCUGGCUUGUAACUGACGCUGAGGCUCGAAAGCGUGGGGAGCAAACAGGAUUAGAGACCCCCGUAGUCCCUGUCUCUUAUACA